GACGAACGCUGGCGGCGUGCUUAACACUGCAAGUCGAACGAUGAACCCGGAGCUUGCUCCGGUGGAUUAGUGGCGAACGGGUGGGUAACACGUGAGUAACCUGCCCUUGACUCUGGGAUAACUGCGGGAAACUGUAGCUAAUACCGGAUACGACCCUCGGCGGCAUCGCCAGGGGGUGGAAAGAAUUUCGGUCAAGGAUGGACUCGCGGCCUAUCAGCUAGUUGGGGGGGUAACGGCUCACCAAGGCGACGACGGGUAGACGGCCUGGGAGGGGGACCGGCCACACGGGGACUGAGACACGGCCCAGACUCCUACGGGAGGCAGCAGUGGGGAAUAUUGCACAAUGGGCGCAAGCCUGAUGCAGCAACGCCGCGUGAGGGAUGACGGCCUUCGGGUUGUAAACCUCUUUUAGUAGGGAAGAAGCGAAAGUGACGGUACCUGCAGAAAAAGCACCGGCUAACUACGUGCCAGCCGCCGCCGUAA
RNAcentral lists this ribosomal RNA (483 nucleotides) under uncultured bacterium. RNAcentral describes it as "partial 16S ribosomal RNA". It matches the Rfam family "Bacterial small subunit ribosomal RNA", at positions 28 to 523 of the family's 1533-position model. The record is from RNAcentral.